This 758-nucleotide long non-coding RNA is filed under the name Gossypium raimondii (Peruvian cotton). RNAcentral's name for it is "long non-coding RNA (GRAI_LNC000829)". Lineage: Eukaryota; Viridiplantae; Streptophyta; Magnoliopsida; Malvales; Malvaceae. The record is from RNAcentral.
CAAGGCAACGACGAGAACUCACCCUUGCCACCUGAGCUAACACCAUUUUUCGACAGGUCUGUUAUCAAAGGUCCUGAUGGACUUGACAUGUUAUAUUUGAACCAGUGGCUAGCUAGUAGCGGGUUAGAUUCAGAUACAAGUAAGAAAAGCCUGAAAAUCACAAGUGCAGGAGGAGGAGCAGCAUCAGAUCUAGUUCGAGCAACGUUUGAGAUUACUCGUGAAGAUUUCAAAAAGUUAAGGGAAAGGGUGUUACCUAAACUACCAGAUAGUGGGAAAGAAAUGCAUCUAUCAACUUUUGUGCUUUCGUUUGCUUAUGUAACAACUUGCAUGGUGAAAGCUAGAGGAGGAGAUGGAGAUAGAAAAGUUGCUUUCGCAUUCACAGCUGAUUGCAGGCCACGAUUAAACCCUCCUGUCUCACAAAACUAUUUCGGAAACUGUAAUAGACCUAAAUUUGAAGUGGCGAAAGCAAGGGAUUUCCUUGAUGAAAACGGGUUUGUGUUUGCUGUUCAGAAAGCAAGUGGAAUGGUUAAAGAUUUAAUGGAGAGAUGGGUUCUUGAAGGAAUGGAAAAGAUUCUAUCAUAUAGUUUAGAUGUUCUUAAAGAAUCAUCUGAGUCAAACCUUCAAAUUAUAACUGUUGCAGGAUCGCCUCGAUUUGGUGUUUAUGGAACAGAUUUUGGAUGGGGCAAACCCCAUAAGGUGGUAAUUGUUUCCAUUGAUAAGAGUGGAGCUAUUUCCAUGGCAGAAAGUAGAGAUGGGAG